This 185-nucleotide unclassified non-coding RNA is filed under the name Phylloporus sp. RNAcentral describes it as "partial contains small subunit ribosomal RNA, internal transcribed spacer 1, and 5.8S ribosomal RNA". The stretch from base 1 to 46 matches the Rfam family "Eukaryotic small subunit ribosomal RNA", at positions 1786 to 1831 of the family's 1831-position model. Lineage: Eukaryota; Fungi; Basidiomycota; Agaricomycetes; Boletales; Boletaceae. The record is from RNAcentral.
AAGUCGUAACAAGGUUUCCGUAGGUGAACCUGCGGAAGGAUCAUUUUUGAUGCUUUAAAUAGACUUGGGGGGUAUACCCCGGGUGUUGACUGAACAUGACUAGUUUUGAACUAGGAUAUUAAACCCGGCAUUGUCUGACUUUUUUUAAUACAAAAAAACUUUCAGCAACGGAUCUCUAGGCUCUU